Non-coding RNA from Lactuca sativa (garden lettuce), 747 nucleotides. The record is from RefSeq and is a predicted model, not a curated record. NCBI's taxonomy places the organism in Eukaryota, Viridiplantae, Streptophyta, Magnoliopsida, Asterales, Asteraceae.
AAUGUUUUCACUUUUUGGAAAACUUAAAAAGGAAUCCAAACACCCUGGUUCCCUUUUUAACUUUCUCCGUCCAACAACGGCAGAUAACAGACGGCGACGAGAAAUUUAAUCGACGCCACAACGUGAGUCAGUGAAGAUCGAGGAGAUGGCGAUGGGCGUUGAGGAGGCUGAAAAGAAGAUGGAAGAGAAGAUGACAUCACUGGGGGAAGGAAGGCAGCAUCACCGGAGAAAAUAGAUGUUGCUGCCUCAUAAGGCACUGUACGAGGCAACAAUGGAGAGGCGAGAAGCAACAUUAUUAGAGGUUGCUAACGUUUCGAUCUUGAUUUUGGAUAUCGGUCUUACUUAUUGGCGUCGUGGCUCGUUUUGCUGGCUUUUACAUGAUAGCCGCAUCUCCUCUAGCUGGGUCCCACACACACAAGCGCAUGUUUAUACAUCUCCAUCAAAAUCUUGACAAUAGGUAAAGACUGAGUGAUUGGGAGGUACAAUCUACCAAUGCACAAGGUACAAUAAUAUUGGAAUCUUCUACCCACACACAUAAACAGAGUGGUGAGAUGGAUUUGUUUUUGUACAAUUAGAUUGCUCAAAGAAGGAUUUUCGAGACAAUAUAAAAAGCGGAUAAGAGGUCAAAUAGCAUGUUUUGGUACUUCAAAAAAUCAUUGAUUAUGAAGAUGUCAUCAUCAAUGUGUAAACAACUCCUUUUGUAUUGAAAAUGUUAAGAUAUUUCUUGAGCUUUUGGUUGAUUAGAAA